This 497-nucleotide ribosomal RNA is filed under the name uncultured bacterium. RNAcentral's name for it is "partial 16S ribosomal RNA". It matches the Rfam family "Bacterial small subunit ribosomal RNA", at positions 28 to 507 of the family's 1533-position model. The record is from RNAcentral.
GAUGAACGCUGGCGGCGUGCCUAAUACAUGCAAGUCGAGCGAACGGACGAGAAGCUUGCUUCUCUGAUGUUAGCGGCGGACAGGUUAGUAACACGUGGAUAACCUACCUAUAAGACGUGGAUAACUUCGGGAAACCGGAGCUAAUACCGGAUAAUAUUUUGAACAGCAUGGUUCAAAAGUGAAAAACGGUCUUGCUGUCACUUAUAGAUGGAUCCGCGCUGCAUUAGCUAGUUGGUAAGGUAACGGCUUACCAAGGCAACGAUGCAUAGCCGACCUGAGAGGGUGAUCGGCCACACUGGAACUGAGACACGGUCCAGACUCCUACGGGAGGCAGCAGUAGGGAAUCUUCCGCAAUGGGCGAAAGCCUGACGGAGCAACGCCGCGUGAGUGAUGAAGGUCUUCGGAUCGUAAAACUCUGUUAUUAGGGAAGAACAUAUGUGUAAGUAACUGUGCACAUCUUGACGGUACCUAAUCAGAAAGCCACGGCUAACUACGUG